UAUAUGAUAUAUAAUAGUGACAUGAAAAACAAAACUUAUUUGUUUUCAAUUUUUUUAUUUUAUCUUUUACAUUCAUUUUCUCACUUUUUAACUAUCUCAUUAAUUAUAUUUACUAUAAUAUUUUGUCAGGAUUAUUUACAUAUUAACUAUAAUAAUUCGACAUAUUUGAAUGAAACCACUCUAUUUGUGAUAAGAAUUCAAAAUGGUUAACAAUUUUUUUUAUUUACUUAUGUAUCGGUUAGACAUGGACAUUCGGAUAACUAUUCAGCUACGAGUUAUUUCUGUGGGUUAUCAUGGUUUUUGAGUUUUGAAACUAGACUUCAUUUCGGUAUUAUAAAUUUUCAUGUGUGUUUCGAAUCGGGUCCAGAUGAAUUCAGUCUUGAUAUAUACAAACCUACAAAUAUCCAAAAACUAAUGUAUUUGACGCCGGUACGGAUAUUUGUAUGAAAAGUAAGAAUAUUAACAGAUUCAAUUCGGGUAUGUUGAAUUCAAAUUAAACUAAAAAUAACCAAUUAACCAAAAGUAAUCAUAUUACUCUAUUUGAUUCAGGUUCGAUUAUGAUGUAUAGAAAUCUAAAAGUAUUUAUGCAAUUAAUUAUAUUAUGAUACAUAUAAAAUAUAUAAUACUAAUCAUAAAAAUAAAAUAUCGAUUUAUAAGAAAGUAAAAAUUAACACCCGCACGGGCGUGCGGGUCAAUCUCUAGUAGUAUCUUAAAUAAUAAAGUAGAGUUUUGUCCCUCAUUCCUUGCGCCACGUCAUCAGGUAGAUGAGGGCAAAUUCUGACACGUGGCACUCCCAAAUAAACGAACUGGGCUUUUAUUAAAUUUUGUUAUUAAGCCCAGAAUUAUGUCAAGUCCAAAAUUAUGUGACUAGGGUUAUUUUUCUUCGUCGUUCUUCUUCUUCCCUGCCUCUUCGUUUCCUUUUCCCUGCCUCUUUGCUCUGACAUUUAUUCUGAGUUUUCCAUUCAUUUGCUCCUUCAUCACCAAGUCUGAGUUAUAGAUAAGGAUGAGAAUUAGGAGAAGCACAAGCCAAGACCAAAACACUAAGGUUAUCUCUCUUUGAAAAACCCUUGCAGAAACGUCUCACCCAUUAGGUUCACACAACAACUUAAAGGAGAGCCAGUGCCACAAGAACUGCUAGAUAGACUGUGCGAGCUCAUAGCUGUUCUUGCUGGUGGUGCAGCUGCAAAAUAUGAAGCACUGAAGGAAGAAGUAUUGGCAAUGAGCCUUCUCGUAGACAAUCCCCUAGCUAGCUGACAAUAACAAACAGCUACCCGGAAGAUGUUAUUGGUGAGCUAAGUACAAUCAGAAGAACGUUCAACACGAUGGCAAAUACCGGAAAAUCGUAUAAUGGCAACUCUACGUAUAGAAAGGGAUGUUACUCUGUGUGUUAGGGACUGGCUCUUACAUUCCAUAGAAAAUUGGAGAGCUAUGAGUCGGAGCCCAAUGUUGUGCUAGCUACCAGCAUAAUUUCCAAGACAGUUGGAGGUUCAUCCAAAGAUUGAUAAGAUUGGGAGAAAGGGUUUAUGCAAAACCUUGGGCUGCAAGAAACUAUCAGUAUAAGCAAGCAAGAACGCUGCACAGAACCAGAUGCUUCCACUGAGAUUGAUGGUUCAAAUAAUAUUCUGGAGCUAGCACGAGCUGCGAUACCCAGAACAACUAACACUGUUACCAAGAAGGAAACAACAGUUUUGAGAAGAAGCUUUGCAACAAAAAGAGAAGAAGACGAUGGAGAAAGAGUUGAAAUUCAACCUAACGAUGAUUUCAGAGCAUCACUCCUUUGAGGUUUAUGGCUUUGUGUUUGAUCCCAAGGCAACCUAUGAAAGCUAUGGGUCUGAGCUGAAAGUAGUGUUACUCACUAGCAUCAAUUCUAAAGUUGUUGGAGCUAAGAAAACUGAAUAUAUUGUCACAUGUCUUGCAUAUCUAUACCUAACGACGACCGCUAUACGUGGA
Molecule: long non-coding RNA, 1950 nt
Organism: Brassica napus (rape)
Lineage: Eukaryota; Viridiplantae; Streptophyta; Magnoliopsida; Brassicales; Brassicaceae
Exons: 7
Source: RefSeq, a predicted model, not a curated record